This is a transfer RNA of Homo sapiens (human), 71 nucleotides long. It matches the Rfam family "tRNA". Rfam says of the family: Transfer RNA (tRNA) molecules are approximately 80 nucleotides in length. Their secondary structure includes four short double-helical elements and three loops (D, anti-codon, and T loops). The record is from Rfam. NCBI's taxonomy places the organism in Eukaryota, Metazoa, Chordata, Mammalia, Primates, Hominidae.
GCAUAGGUGGUUCAGUGGUAGAAUUCUUGCCUGCCACGCAGGAGGCCCAGGUUUGAUUCCUGGCCCAUGCA